UUAUGAUUAGUGGCGCACGGGUGAGUAAUAUAUAGGUAAUGUACCUCUUAGUCUGGGAUAGCCACUGGAAACGGUGAUUAAUACCGGAUACUCCUUCUCUCUAUAAUUAGAGUUGGGAAAGUUUUUCGCUAAGAGAUCGGCCUAUAUCCUAUCAGCUAGUUGGUGAGGUAAUGGCUCACCAAGGCAAUGACAGGUAGCGGGUUUGAGAGGAUGAUCAGCCACACUGGGACUGAGACACGGCCCAGACUCC
This 250-nucleotide ribosomal RNA is filed under the name uncultured bacterium. RNAcentral describes it as "partial 16S ribosomal RNA". It matches the Rfam family "Bacterial small subunit ribosomal RNA", at positions 86 to 339 of the family's 1533-position model. The record is from RNAcentral.